RNAcentral lists this ribosomal RNA (502 nucleotides) under uncultured bacterium. RNAcentral describes it as "bacterial SSU rRNA". It matches the Rfam family "Bacterial small subunit ribosomal RNA", at positions 16 to 507 of the family's 1533-position model. The record is from RNAcentral.
AUCCUGGCUCAGGAUGAACGCUAGCUACAGGCUUAACACAUGCAAGUCGAGGGAAACGAUAGAGAAAGCUUGCUUUUCUAGGCGUCGACCGGCGCACGGGUGAGUAACGCGUAUCCAACCUGCCCAUCACUUGGGGGAUAACCUUGCGAAAGUAAGACUAAUACCCAAUGACGUCUCUAGAAGACAUCUGAAGGAGAUUAAAGAUUUAUCGGUGAUGGAUGGGGAUGCGUCUGAUUAGCUUGUUGCGGGGUAACGGCCCACCAAGGCGACGAUCAGUAGGGGUUCUGAGAGGAAGGCCCCCCACAUUGGAACUGAGACACGGUCCAAACUCCUACGGGAGGCAGCAGUGAGGAAUAUUGGUCAAUGGACGAGAGUCUGAACCAGCCAAGUAGCGUGCAGGAUGACGGCCCUAUGGGUUGUAAACUGCUUUUAUAAGGGAAUAAAGUGAGUCUCGUGAGACUUUUUGCAUGUACCUUAUGAAUAAGGACCGGCUAAUUCCGUG